Molecule: ribosomal RNA, 198 nt
Filed under: uncultured bacterium
Lineage: Bacteria
Description: partial 16S ribosomal RNA
Rfam family: Bacterial small subunit ribosomal RNA
Source: RNAcentral
ACGCUCGACACCUACGGGAGGUAGCAGUGGGGAAUAUUGCACAAUGGGGGAAACCCUGAUGCAGCGACGCCGCGUGGAGGAAGAAGGUCUUCGGAUUGUAAACUCCUGUUGUUGGGGAAAAAGNGGAUGGUACCCAACAAGGAAGUGACGGCUAACUACGUGCCCGCAGCCGCGGUAAUCUGAGCGGGCUGGCAAGGC